This 482-nucleotide ribosomal RNA is filed under the name uncultured bacterium. RNAcentral describes it as "bacterial SSU rRNA". It matches the Rfam family "Bacterial small subunit ribosomal RNA", at positions 30 to 507 of the family's 1533-position model. The record is from RNAcentral.
AUUGAACGCUGGCGGCAUGCCUUACACAUGCAAGUCGAACGGUAACGGGCCUUCGGGUGCCGACGAGUGGCGAACGGGUGAGUAAUGUAUCGGAACGUACCUUUCAGUGGGGGAUAACGUAGCGAAAGUUACGCUAAUACCGCAUAUUCUGUGAGCAGGAAAGCAGGGGAUCGCAAGACCUUGCGCUGAUUGAGCGGCCGAUAUCAGAUUAGCUAGUUGGUGAGGUAAGGGCUCACCAAGGCGACGAUCUGUAGCGGGUCUGAGAGGAUGAUCCGCCACACUGGAACUGAGACACGGUCCAGACUCCUACGGGAGGCAGCAGUGGGGAAUUUUGGACAAUGGGGGCAACCCUGAUCCAGCCAUGCCGCGUGAGUGAAGAAGGCCUUCGGGUUGUAAAGCUCUUUCGGCCGGGAAGAAAUCGUAUCAGCUAAUACCUGAUGCGGAUGACGGUACCGGCAUAAGAAGCACCGGCUAACUACGUG